This is a long non-coding RNA of Macaca mulatta (Rhesus monkey), 1619 nucleotides long. Lineage: Eukaryota; Metazoa; Chordata; Mammalia; Primates; Cercopithecidae. The record is from Ensembl.
ACUUCCACUCCAACAGAGAUACGUUGUUUCCCAACAGCUUUUCCUUCCUGAACUUCUCAUUCCCAAAAAGGCAGGAAUAAGAAAAGAGCUAGAACUUCAAGGUCCAUGACUCUCACCCUUCAUGCCUCUCUAUUAAAAUGGUUUGUUCAGGAAGUUUCCUUCAGACCAGCUGACCACCCCAAUUUGCACACGCUGAGGAUGGGAUCUGCAGCCUACUCUUCUAUCAAACUCUCCACAGUGCGUUUAAGGUCAGCAACAUUUCGGAUCCACGGUGGCCCGAGGUCCUGGCAUGCCUUGGAACACACACCCUCCUCAUCAGCUGGUUCAGCUCCAUCUCUUUCCAAGCUUAGAAGCUGAGCCCAGGGACAGGGCCAUCGGCCACCAGUCACACUGCUGUGCAGAGGCAGAACCAGCACCGAAGCUCAGGUCUCCUAGUUUAUUGUCACAUCCCCUGUGUGUCUCCAGAAGCCAUGCCAGUUCACAGGCUGAGAUUCCUGUCUGUAUUUCUGUGUGGAGAACACUUUGCUACUCUCCCCAUUCCCUUCAGGUCAGGGCCACAGGUCUGCCUUGUUGAGAAGUCCGCUGGAGUCUCACCCUUACAUUUGCCUCCAGGUAGUUUUUAGUAUGCACCGGUUUUGUCUGGAGAAUAAUGUCUUGCUUUUCUUAUUUAAGUGGAAAAUAAUUAACUUCCUAAAUGUUUAUUUAACUUUAAACUGCAUUAGUUAGAGCUCAUUAAAAUAUUUAGGAUAAACUGACAAGCUGAAAUCUUAAGAAUUAUUGACUUUAAAAUGCAUUCACCAUUAAAUACAAACGUUGUAUAUUCUAUGGAAGCAUAACAUUAUCUAACAAAAUGUUCAAACACCUUUCACUAACCUCCUGUUAUUGAAGCUGUACACUAUUUCAUGAUGCCAUCACCAUGGGAGGAUAUAUGCUUACACUGGAAAAGGUACAAUAAAUAAUUUUUAUACUUGUACCUCCAAAUUCUGAAAAAUACACUUUUUAUUAAGCAAAAAUUAGUUUAUUUGACAUCCAAAUGACACCACUAAGGAACUACUAAGGAUUCCCUGGGGAAAUGGCUGACUCCACUACUGGGGCUGGACAUGGAGAAGAUGAGUCUGUGAUGUCUUGUCUUGCAAACAAGAAAGGAUGCCGCACUAGGACCAUGUCCAAAGGACAACAGUGCCAGUACAGGGGCUCCUACUGGACAAAUACGGGCAAUCCUAGCCCGAGGUGACACUGGGAUGGGCCCUGCUGAUCUACACUCGAGACCUCACCCAGCUCUUUCUCCAAGGCACCUGCUUCUCACAGCAUCUGGUCAAGUCGCCUGUGUUUCGGGGGUACCUGUGUCUUCUUCCAUCUCCUGCCACCCCUCCCUGAACUGGGACGCUUGUUCAUGUCCUUUCUCUCUACCAUGACAAUGCGGCUGGUUAACAGUAGGAGCACUGUCUUAUACGUCACUGAUUCUUGGUUGCUAGGAUAGUACUUUGCUUAUGUUAGGUGAUCAAUGAUUAUUUAAAGAUCAGUAAAGAUCAAUCUGCACUUUGAAUGUGGGUCUCCAUGACUGGGAUGCAGAAAUUCCAAGGAGUUGCAGCUAUAGAAUAAAUUGAAGAGUAUUGGUU